Schizosaccharomyces pombe (fission yeast) is the source of this 218-nucleotide non-coding RNA. NCBI's taxonomy places the organism in Eukaryota, Fungi, Ascomycota, Schizosaccharomycetes, Schizosaccharomycetales, Schizosaccharomycetaceae. The record is from the annotation of a GenBank genome assembly.
AGGAUACGAAUGGGAUCACGCAUAAAUUUGGUGGUGACUUCCAAAACAUCUUGAGGCAUGGUGGCAGAAAGAAGAACAACUUGAGCAGUAGGAGGCAAAAGUUGGAAAAUGUCGUAAAUUUGGUCCUUGAAACCACGGGACAACAUUUCAUCAGCCUCAUCAAGAACAAACAUUUGGACGGCAUCGGUAGGAAGAGCACGACGUUGAAUCAUGUCGUG